This 465-nucleotide ribosomal RNA is filed under the name uncultured bacterium. RNAcentral describes it as "partial 16S ribosomal RNA". It matches the Rfam family "Bacterial small subunit ribosomal RNA", at positions 28 to 507 of the family's 1533-position model. The record is from RNAcentral.
GACGAACGCUGGCGGCGUGCUUAACACAUGCAAGUCGAACGGAAAGGCCCCUUUGGGGGUACUCGAGUGGCGAACGGGUGAGUAACACGUGAGUAACCUGCCCUUGACUUCGGGAUAACUUCAGGAAACUGGGGCUAAUACCGGAUAGGAAUCCUUGCUGCAUGGUGGGGGUUGGAAAGCUUCGGCGGUUUUGGAUGGACUCGCGGCUUAUCAGCUUGUUGGUGGGGUAGUGGCUUACCAAGGCUUUGACGGGUAGCCGGCCUGAGAGGGCGACCGGCCACAUUGGGACUGAGAUACGGCCCAGACUCCGACGGGAGGCAGCAGGGGGGAAUAUUGCACAAUGGGCGGAAGCCUGAUGCAGCAACGCCGCGUGCGGGAGGACGGCCUUCGGGUUGGAAACCGCUUUCAGCAGGGGCGAAGCUUGUGGUGACGGUACCUGCAGAAGAAGCACCGGCUAACUACGUG